GGAAUCCUCCACAAUGGACGAAAGUCUGAUGGAGCAACGCCGCGUGAGUGAAGAAGGGUUUCGGCUCGUAAAACUCUGUUGUUAAAGAAGAACAUAUCUGAGAGUAACUGUUCAUGUAUUGACGGUAUUUAACCAGAAAGCCACGGCUAACUACGUACCAG
RNAcentral lists this ribosomal RNA (161 nucleotides) under uncultured bacterium. RNAcentral describes it as "partial 16S rRNA". It matches the Rfam family "Bacterial small subunit ribosomal RNA", at positions 358 to 511 of the family's 1533-position model. The record is from RNAcentral.